AAAUUGAAGAGUUUGAUCAUGGCUCAGAUUGAACGCUGGCGGCAGGCCUAACACAUGCAAGUCGAACGGUAACAGGAAGCAGCUUGCUGCUUUGCUGACGAGUGGCGGACGGGUGAGUAAUGUCUGGGAAACUGCCUGAUGGAGGGGGAUAACUACUGGAAACGGUGGCUAAUACCGCAUAACGUCGCAAGACCAAAGAGGGGGACCUUCGGGCCUCUUGCCAUCAGAUGUGCCCAGAUGGGAUUAGCUUGUUGGUGAGGUAACGGCUCACCAAGGCGACGAUC
Molecule: ribosomal RNA, 284 nt
Filed under: Salmonella enterica
Lineage: Bacteria; Pseudomonadati; Pseudomonadota; Gammaproteobacteria; Enterobacterales; Enterobacteriaceae
Also listed under: 3 other names
Description: partial 16S ribosomal RNA
Rfam family: Bacterial small subunit ribosomal RNA
Source: RNAcentral